RNAcentral lists this unclassified non-coding RNA (341 nucleotides) under soil metagenome. RNAcentral's name for it is "partial contains 5.8S ribosomal RNA, internal transcribed spacer 2, and large subunit ribosomal RNA". The stretch from base 1 to 120 matches the Rfam family "5.8S ribosomal RNA", at positions 35 to 154 of the family's 154-position model. The record is from RNAcentral.
GAUGAAGAACGCAGCGAAAUGCGAUAAGUAGUGUGAAUUGCAGAAUUCAGUGAAUCAUCGAAUCUUUGAACGCACAUUGCGCCCUUUGAUAUUCCAAAGGGCAUGCCUGUUCGAGCGUCAUUUGUACCCUCAAGCUUUGCUUGGUGUUGGGCGUCUUGUCUCUAGCUUUGCUGGAGACUCGCCUUAAAGUAAUUGGCAGCCGGCCUACUGGUUUCGGAGCGCAGCACAAGUCGCACUCUCUAUCAGCAAAGGUCUAGCAUCCAUUAAGCCUUUUUUUCAACUUUUGACCUCGGAUCAGGUAGGGAUACCCGCUGAACUUAAGCAUAUCAAUAAGCGGAGGA